RNAcentral lists this ribosomal RNA (404 nucleotides) under Actinomycetes bacterium. Its description in RNAcentral is "Actinobacteria bacterium partial 16S ribosomal RNA". It matches the Rfam family "Bacterial small subunit ribosomal RNA", at positions 355 to 776 of the family's 1533-position model. The record is from RNAcentral. Lineage: Bacteria; Bacillati; Actinomycetota; Actinomycetes.
UGGGGAAUAUUGGACAAUGGGGGCAACCCUGAUCCAGCCAUGCCCCGUGAGUGAUGAAGGCCUUAGGGUUGUAAAGCUCUUUUAUCCGGGACGAUAAUGACGGUACCGGAGGAAUAAGCCCCGGCUAACUUCGUGCCAGCAGCCGCGGUAAUACGAAGGGGGCUAGCGUUGCUCGGAAUCACUGGGCGUAAAGGGCGCGUAGGCGGUCUUUUAAGUCGGGGGUGAAAGCCUGUGGCUCAACCACAGAAUUGCCUUCGAUACUGGGAGACUUGAGUUCGGAAGAGGUUGGUGGAACUGCGGGUGUAGAGGUGAAAUUCGUAGAUAUUCGCAAGAACACCGGUGGCGAAGGCGGCCAACUGGUCCGACACUGACGCUGAGGCGCGAAAGCGUGGGGAGCAAACAGG